Molecule: ribosomal RNA, 421 nt
Filed under: uncultured bacterium
Lineage: Bacteria
Description: bacterial SSU rRNA
Rfam family: Bacterial small subunit ribosomal RNA
Source: RNAcentral
AAGGAAUAUUGGACAAUGGAGGGAACUCUGAUCCAGCCAUGCCGCGUGAAGGAAGAAGGCGCUCAGCGUUGUAAACUUCUUUUGAAUGGGAACAAAACGUCCGACUUGUCGGGCACUGAGGGUACCAUUAGAAUAAGCGCCGGCUAACUCCGUGCCAGCAGCCGCGGUAAUACGGAGGGUGCAAGCGUUAUCCGGAAUCACUGGGUUUAAAGGGUGCGUAGGCGGUGAGAUAAGUCAGUCGUGAAAUACUUCCGCUUAACGGAUAGAACUGCGAUUGAUACUGUUUUACUUGAAUCAGGUUGAGGUAGGCGGAAUGUGGCAUGUAGCGGUGAAAUGCAUAGAUAUGCCAUAGAACACCGAUUGCGAAGGCAGCUUGCUGGGCCUGAAUUGACGCUGAGGCACGAAAGCGUGGGGAGCAAAC